AAUUUUAUGCGGGGGAACUGUAAAGUUGAGAAGGUUUAAGACCUGACCCUUGGAACCUGUCGGUUAAUACCGUCGAAGGGAGCAUUUGUAUAAUCUCC
RNAcentral lists this non-coding RNA (98 nucleotides) under Anaerosphaera aminiphila. RNAcentral describes it as "TPP sequence". It matches the Rfam family "TPP riboswitch aptamer (THI element)". Rfam says of the family: Vitamin B(1) in its active form thiamin pyrophosphate (TPP) is an essential coenzyme that is synthesised by coupling of pyrimidine and thiazole moieties in bacteria. The record is from RNAcentral. RNAcentral also lists the same sequence under 1 other name. Lineage: Bacteria; Bacillati; Bacillota; Tissierellia; Tissierellales; Peptoniphilaceae.